This 23-nucleotide non-coding RNA is filed under the name Arabidopsis thaliana (thale cress). The record is from RNAcentral. Lineage: Eukaryota; Viridiplantae; Streptophyta; Magnoliopsida; Brassicales; Brassicaceae.
GAGGAUGCCGUAAAUGUCAUUGU